GGCUCAAUUGUCUAGUGGUAUGAUUCGCACUUCGGGUGGUCGACUCUUUCUUGUUUCCAAGAAUCCCCAUUGCCUGGGCAACGGGCAAACUGAUAUGAUAUGUGCGUGGUCUCGGGUUCGAAUCCCGAUUGGGCCC
Molecule: non-coding RNA, 136 nt
Organism: Lasiosphaeria ovina
Lineage: Eukaryota; Fungi; Ascomycota; Sordariomycetes; Sordariales; Lasiosphaeriaceae
Source: the annotation of a GenBank genome assembly